CAGAUGAUGAUGGCACAUAGCCCAUGUCCUGCUGUGGGAUUAAAGGACAGCAUUACCAUACUUCAAAACCAAAAUACCAAAUUAUAAAGAUGCAUCCAAAAGGGAUAUCUAUCAGACAUUCUACCUGGCGUCUGCUGCUCCAUCAUCACUGCAUCCAUCAUCACCAGAGGAGUCUCCUCUCCUUCUGUGGUCUCAUGACCAGAAAAUGGAAGAAGUUAAAAGCUUAUUGGAUUGACAAAAAAAAAAAUAAAUAAUAAUAAUAACAAAAAAA
RNAcentral lists this long non-coding RNA (271 nucleotides) under Homo sapiens (human). RNAcentral describes it as "novel transcript". The record is from RNAcentral. Lineage: Eukaryota; Metazoa; Chordata; Mammalia; Primates; Hominidae.